RNAcentral lists this ribosomal RNA (282 nucleotides) under Triticum aestivum (bread wheat). RNAcentral's name for it is "partial small subunit ribosomal RNA". The record is from RNAcentral. Lineage: Eukaryota; Viridiplantae; Streptophyta; Magnoliopsida; Poales; Poaceae.
AUGGAAGGGCUGAUCCCGUUCGUGAUCGACGCGAUCAGGAAGAGCCACGCGAGGGACAGCUACCGCUGCGCCUCCUCGGACGGCAGCUCCCACGGGGGCAGCGGCAGCAGGCGGCACCUCAUAGACUACCGGGAGCUGCCGGCCGGAGCGGCCGACGCCGACGCCAUCCGCCACCAAGGCCCGUGGUCGGAGUUUAUCCAGGCGCCGGCCGACGUGCGUCCUUCCGAGGAGCACGCCCGGCCGGCCGCCGCGGUCGCCGGGUCGGCUUAUCGCUGGAAAUGA